CUAGCCUCAAACUCAUAAAAAAAUCUGCCUGCCUCUGCCGUGGUGGGAUUAAAGGAAGAAACUAAAGUUGUUCAUAAGAAGAGUUACUCAAACUCAUCCAACAUAGUUAGAGGAAAAUGCAAUCCAGCAACAUCUGCUUUUCAGUGAACCUGAACUAAAUUGUAGUGGUUCCUUGGAACUGUUUGAGAGUCACUCAGGAGCUCCCCGGAGGAACAGAGGAACAAGAGAGCAUUGUACUGAGUUCUGUCUGAAAGAAAAGGUCUGAGACACAGAUCCUGCUUUAGAAGAAUCGCCAGACCUUUAAAGGGAAGACAAGAUCAGCAACAAACAUAAAGAGUUGUUAUAGUGUUGUUAUUUUUAUAUUAACCUUGUGUGUGUGUGUGUGUGUGUGUGUGUGUGUGUGUGUGUGUGUGUGUCAUGUAAGGAGAGGCAACAUCCUUUGCAAAGAGUUCAGAUCACAAUAACAAAAAGUAAGAUAAAUCUGAAUGGGCCAGGAUAGAAGAUGUUACUUCCAUGGCUGUCACUAUGGCAACCACUUCCUUGAGCUCUGGGCAGGGUCUGCAGGUUGAUCAAAUGGAGUAGCAAUAGCUCAAAGGGAAAAACAAAUGAAAACAAAAGUGGCGUUUACUACAGUUCAGGAUGGCAAUCUCCAGGUCUUUCAAGCUCCACCCCCGUGUUCCAGGGACCUUGAGGCAAGCACAGUCAUUUGUUUGGUGAUAAAGUGACUGGUUCAAGGUUCCCCCUUACUGCUGUAGACAGAAGAGCAUGAGAGGAGGGUGGUGAUGGAGAAUUCAGGGAUCG
This is a non-coding RNA of Peromyscus maniculatus bairdii (prairie deer mouse), 801 nucleotides long. The record is from RefSeq and is a predicted model, not a curated record. NCBI's taxonomy places the organism in Eukaryota, Metazoa, Chordata, Mammalia, Rodentia, Cricetidae.